Molecule: ribosomal RNA, 1793 nt
Filed under: Scytalidium cuboideum
Lineage: Eukaryota; Fungi; Ascomycota; Leotiomycetes
Description: SSU rRNA
Rfam family: Eukaryotic small subunit ribosomal RNA
Source: RNAcentral
GNGUUCCUGUCUCAGAUUAGCCAUGCAUGUCUAAGUAUAAGCAAUCUAUACUGUGAAACUGCGAAUGGCUCAUUAAAUCAGUUAUCGUUUAUUUGAUAGUACCUUACUACUUGGAUAACCGUGGUAAUUCUAGAGCUAAUACAUGCUAAAAACCUCGACUUCGGAAGGGGUGUAUUUAUUAGAUAAAAAACCAAUGCCCUUCGGGGCUCCUUGGUGAUUCAUAAUAACUUAACGAAUCGCAUGGCCUUGUGCCGGCGAUGGUUCAUUCAAAUUUCUGCCCUAUCAACUUUCGAUGGUAGGAUAGUGGCCUACCAUGGUUUCAACGGGUAACGGGGAAUUAGGGUUCUAUUCCGGAGAGCGAGCCUGAGACACGGCUAGCACAUCCAAGGAAGGCAGCAGGCGCGCAAAUUACCCAAUCCCGACACGGGGAGGUAGUGACAAUAAAUACUGAUACAGGACUCUUUUGGGUCUUGUAAUUGGAAUGAGUACAAUUUAAAUCCCUUAACGAGGAACAAUUGGAGGGCAAGUCUGGUGCCAGCAGCCGCGGUAAUUCCAGCUCCAAUAGCGUAUAUUAAAGUUGUUGCAGUUAAAAAGCUCGUAGUUGAACCUUGGGCCUGGCUGGCCGGUCCGCCUCACCGCGUGCACUGGUCCGGCCGGGCCUUUCCUUCUGGGGAGCCGCAUGCCCUUCACUGGGUGUGUCGGGGAACCAGGACUUUUACUUUGAAAAAAUUAGAGUGUUCAAAGCAGGCCUAUGCUCGAAUACAUUAGCAUGGAAUAAUAGAAUAGGACGUGUGGUUCUAUUUUGUUGGUUUCUAGGACCGCCGUAAUGAUCAAUAGGGAUAGUCGGGGGCAUCAGUAUUCAAUUGUCAGAGGUGAAAUUCUUGGAUUUAUUGAAGACUAACUACUGCGAAAGCAUUUGCCAAGGAUGUUUUCAUUAAUCAGUGAACGAAAGUUAGGGGAUCGAAGACGAUCAGAUACCGUCGUAGUCUUAACCAUAAACUAUGCCGACUAGGGAUCGGGCGAUGUUACUUUUUUGACUCGCUCGGCACCUUACGAGAAAUCAAAGUCUUUGGGUUCUGGGGGGAGUAUGGUCGCAAGGCUGAAACUUAAAGAAAUUGACGGAAGGGCACCACAAUGGAGUGGAGCCUGCGGCUUAAUUUGACUCAACACGGGGAAACUCACCAGGUCCAGACACAAUAAGGAUUGACAGAUUGAGAGCUSUUUCUUGAUUUUGUGGGUGGUGGUGCAUGGCCGUUCUUAGUUGGUGGGAUGACUUGUCUGCUCAAUUGCGAUAACGAACGAGACCUUAACCUACUAAAUAGCCAGGCUAGCUUUGGCUGGUCGCCGGCUUCUUAGAGGGACUAUCGGCUCAAGCCGAUGGAAGUUUGAGGCAAUAACAGGUCUGUGAUGCCCUUAUAUGUUCUGGGGCGCACGAGCUCUACGCGGACUGAUCCAUACACUGCAUCACCUUGAUCGAAAGGGCUGUGUAAUCAUGGUCAACUCUGUCAUGCUGCGAAUACACCAUUGGAUGUAUUGCUCUUCACCUGGGAAUUGCGACUAAGCGCAAGUCAUCUGCUUGCGUUGAAUACGUCCCUGCCCUUUGUACACAUCCCCGUCACUACUACCGAUUGAAUGGUCACUGAGGCUUUCUCACUGGCCUCGAAGACUGAAGCUCUCGCUCGCGCCCGGAUAGUAUGCACCUUGAACAUGUCUAGGAGUAAAGUCUCACAGGUUGCGAGGGGGAGGAGAGGCCUGACCAGACUCGCUCCUCUGCGCUGGGGGGGGUUUUGCUC